UUCUGCUACCAGGACACCAUUUGGAAUGCUUGCCAUACCUCUGGUGGAAAUGUGACGAGCAAUUUUGUCAAUGUUUGGCGGUGCACCCCUCAAUUUUCUGGGACAAGAUGGACAUGGCAUCUGGCUCCCCAUUAUGACCCGUGCCGCAGCAGGGUAGUUUCUCGUUCAUGGGGAGGCUGGUGGGGGCAGUGCGACAGAGGUCAGGCUGUUUUUGUACAUUUAAUGACAGUCAUUGUUCAUGGGGUGCCUCGUGCAACGAAUGCUCUGCCUGCGGGCCUGCUCAUCCCAUCUCCCGCUAGUAAGACAGGGGAUCGGGGUACUACGGGCAACGACACCAUUUGUCGUAAGCACAAUGUGCCGAUAGCUCAUCCGUUGGGCAGCCAAGAUCCUGUUGUAAGGCAUUGGGCACGGUUUUUGGAUUCCUUUCUCUGUCGCCCCCCUUCGUUGCUGAUUCGGAACCUUUGGUCAGUCCGGGAUUUUCAUGCAUGUGGUCAAAAACGCUUGUCUCUGGGUCGCAAGGCCGGUCCCUUUAGCGACCCCCCUUUACUCGACUGGCUACUCUCCCCCUUGGGCAUGGUUUCCCAAGGAGGAGCAAAGGAAAUACUGUUUGAUUCUUCAUUUGUCAGGCAUUUGUGUGGUUUUGCAUGAGGACAUCUCUUCGGGACUUUGGGGCAUCGAGAUUGAUUCUGUGGCGGGUUUAUGCCGCUUGCCUCGGAUCCAGUUCGCGGCUCACGGCGGGUCGUGGCUGGCCCUAGGGCUCCAUAAGAUCUGACUGCAUGACGUCCGGGGUCACCGGACUGUUAGGAUGAGAAUGCCAGCCCACACGGUGCAGAGGAUCGGGAGGUGGGAUUCUGGGCGUCUUGUCUGAUAUGUUCGUCCGCUGGUCUCCUGAGUUGAGGUACUAUCCACCAGUUCGACUCCCACCAAGGUUUUGGUGAUCGUGCACUCUUCUGUAUUCUGGACCAGGAGGCAUGCAGCUAUCCGUCUGGGAGGUGAGCUAUUGGGUUUUACGUAGAAGCAGAGAUUUGUUGGUUUGGUGCCAGAGGUAUGAAAUGGGUUCAGCUCCUCCUGGAGCAGUUUCAGCUGUCCUGCCUCCAAAUGUUCGGGGUAUCCACCUGGGGGGGAAUGUGCUUGGGACGAUACCAAUGUGGGGUUUUGGCGUAUGCCCUUCAGAGGGUCUUGG
Non-coding RNA from Pelobates cultripes (western spadefoot toad), 1183 nucleotides. Lineage: Eukaryota; Metazoa; Chordata; Amphibia; Anura; Pelobatidae. The record is from the annotation of a GenBank genome assembly.